AUCGCUUCUCGGCCUUUUGGCUAAGAUCAAGUGUAAAAAUGUGCUUAUUAUUUUUGUGUAAUGUUUGUUGCUAAACCCUUUUUUUCAAAAAUAAGGUCUCUGAAUGAGAAAAGGAAGAAUUUUUAAAUAUGAAAAACUCAACUAAA
This 146-nucleotide small nuclear RNA is filed under the name Eschrichtius robustus (grey whale). RNAcentral describes it as "U2 spliceosomal RNA". It matches the Rfam family "U2 spliceosomal RNA". Rfam says of the family: U2 is a small nuclear RNA (snRNA) component of the spliceosome (involved in pre-mRNA splicing). Complementary binding between U2 snRNA (in an area lying towards the 5' end but 3' to hairpin I) and the branchpoint sequence (BPS) of the intron results the bulging out of an unpaired adenosine, on the BPS, which initiates a nucleophilic attack at the intronic 5' splice site, thus starting the first of two transesterification reactions that mediate splicing. The record is from Rfam by way of RNAcentral. RNAcentral also lists the same sequence under 1 other name. Lineage: Eukaryota; Metazoa; Chordata; Mammalia; Artiodactyla; Eschrichtiidae.